CUGCAUUGUAAAAUUAUAAUGUAACCAGAUAUUGGAGGAAUGAAGAGUGAGAUAUGUUGAUCAUAGGACUUUAAAAACACAAACUCAUCUCACAAGUUUCAAAGCGAUGGUGCUUUUUUUUUUUUUUAUUAAUUCAUCUUUUGUUAGAUACUACAAAUAAUUGUGUAAAAUUGUGUAUAAAAAUUGUACCAGAAAAAAAAAGGCUUUCGUUAAAAAGAUAGCGAGAACAAAUAAAGUUAUAUAUAGUAAUAUAAUAUAAAAUUCAAGCAAAAAAAUUAUAUUUUAUAACAAAAUAAGCAGAAGCAAAACAGCAGUUGUUUAACAUAUAGAAUAACAUAUUGAAAAGCAUAUUGAGUAACAUUGAAUAACAUAUUGUUAUGAACCUCAUGUGAUUUGAAAUAGAACACUGUUUCACUUGUUUAGUCAAGAUUUAACUUCUUCAGUAUCUUCUAUGUAUAUAAUUCUCUACGUGCGGGACGUCGACUCUCUAACCCUCGAUGAAAAGUAAUGGAAAGAUAACUUUUAUUUCUGCAAGUUGGACUAAUGUUACCUCACACAAAUUUCGCGGCGACAGAGAGCGCGGCUCAGAAAAAAAGGAAGAGAAAAACAGGUCUACGUCGCCCAACCAUGCGGAACACCACGCACGCACGCUGAAUCUCUAGCCCUCAUCCUGCCCACUCCCUCUUGCACCAGUGCCUUCCUCGCCCUCCAGGCAUCCGCACACAGUCUUUUGCUCAGACCCACCCCAUUUGGAGAAGAGUGUCUCUAAGGAAGUGUUCACAGUCACCAAAUAGCGGCUUAUGCUACGCCGCGGGUAGGCUAGUUCUUAAUAAGCCAUGACAUAUUUAUAGAAUGCUUCAAAGGUCGUGUGGUAUGCUUUCUAGAUUGUCAUGACAAUAGUUGCAAAUUCAAAACCUGUCCUCUACCUCCUCUCCCCCCCCCCCCCCA
This is a non-coding RNA of Biomphalaria pfeifferi, 948 nucleotides long. Lineage: Eukaryota; Metazoa; Mollusca; Gastropoda; Planorbidae. The record is from the annotation of a GenBank genome assembly.